GACCCGCGAACUUGUCUUUUACCAUCGGGGAACACGGGGUCCUCCCCUUGCUUCCCCGCAUCCGGGUGGGUGCACGGAGCCUCUUCCGGGGGGCAACGUGUUCACUCGCUCGUCGAACAACGAACCCCGGCGCAAACCGCGCCAAGGAACUUGAACAAAGAGAGCACGUCCCUGCCCGUUCGCGGGCGGUGCUGGCGUUGCAUCUUUCACAAAAC
RNAcentral lists this unclassified non-coding RNA (215 nucleotides) under Enkianthus nudipes. Its description in RNAcentral is "partial ITS1". The record is from RNAcentral. Lineage: Eukaryota; Viridiplantae; Streptophyta; Magnoliopsida; Ericales; Ericaceae.